UAGGGAAUCUUGCGCAAUGGGCGAAAGCCUGACGCAGCGACGCCGCGUGCGGGAAGAAGGCCUUCGGGUUGUAAACCGCUUUCAGGAGGGACGAAGCCACUCGGGUUAAUACCCCAGAGGGUGACGGUACCUCCAGAAGAAGCCCCGGCUAACUACGUGCCAGCAGCCGCGGUAAUACGUAGGGGGCAAGCGUUGUCCGGAUUUAUUGGGCGUAAAGAGCGUGUAGGCGGCCAGAUAGGUCAGCUGUGAAAACUCGAGGCUCAACCUCGAGAUGUCGGCUGAAACCAUCUGGCUAGAGUCCGGAAGAGGAGAAUGGAAUUCCCGGUGUAGCGGUGAAAUGCGCAGAUAUCGGGAAGAACACCCGUGGCGAAGGCGGUUCUCUGGGACGGUACUGACGCUGAGACGCGAAAGCGUGGGGAGCGAACA
Molecule: ribosomal RNA, 426 nt
Filed under: uncultured bacterium
Lineage: Bacteria
Description: bacterial SSU rRNA
Rfam family: Bacterial small subunit ribosomal RNA
Source: RNAcentral